GACGAACGCUGGCGGCGUGCUUAACACAUGCAAGUCGAGCGGUAAGGCCCUUUCGGGGUACGACGAGCGGCGAACGGGUAGGAGUAACAACGUGGGUGGACCUCGCCCUCCAGCUCUGGGAGUAAAGCCUCGGGAAACCGGGGUACCGUAAUAACUGGAGUAUGACUCCAUGACGCAUGUUGUUGGGGUGGGAAAGACCUU
Molecule: ribosomal RNA, 201 nt
Filed under: uncultured bacterium
Lineage: Bacteria
Description: partial 16S ribosomal RNA
Source: RNAcentral